GAGCAGGGUCGAAAGACGGACUUAGUGAUCCGGUGGUUCCGCAUGGAAGGGCCAUCGCUCAACGGAUAAAAGCUACCCCGGGGAUAACAGGCUUAUCUCCCCCAAGAGUUCACAUCGACGGGGAGGUUUGGCACCUCGAUGUCGGCUCAUCGCAUCCUGGGGCUGUAGUCGGUCCCAAGGGUUGGGCUGUUCGCCCAUUAAAGCGGUACGCGAGCUGGGUUCAGAACGUCGUGAGACAGUUCGGUCCCUAUCCGUCGUGGGCGUAGGAAAUUUGAGAGGAGCUGUCCUUAGUACGAGAGGACCGGGAUGGACAUACCUCUGGUGUACCAGUUGUCGUGCCAACGGCAUAGCUGGGUAGCUAUGUGUGGACGGGAUAAGUGCUGAAAGCAUCUAAGCAUGAAGCCCCCCUCAAGAUGAGAUUUCCCAACUUCGGUUAUAAGAUCCCUCAAAGAUGAUGAGGUUAAUAGGUUCGAGGUGGAAGCAUGGUGACAUGUGGAGCUGACGAAUACUAAUCGAUCGAAGACUUAAUCAA
RNAcentral lists this ribosomal RNA (532 nucleotides) under Staphylococcus aureus. RNAcentral's name for it is "partial 23S ribosomal RNA". It matches the Rfam family "Bacterial large subunit ribosomal RNA", at positions 2391 to 2925 of the family's 2925-position model. The record is from RNAcentral. Lineage: Bacteria; Bacillati; Bacillota; Bacilli; Caryophanales; Staphylococcaceae.